RNAcentral lists this ribosomal RNA (906 nucleotides) under uncultured bacterium. RNAcentral describes it as "bacterial SSU rRNA". It matches the Rfam family "Bacterial small subunit ribosomal RNA", at positions 8 to 904 of the family's 1533-position model. The record is from RNAcentral.
AGAGUUUGAUCCUGGCUCAGGAUGAACGCUAGCUACAGGCUUAACACAUGCAAGUCGAGGGGAAACGAUAGAGAAAGCUUGCUUUUUCUAGGCGUCGACCGGCGCACGGGUGAGUAACGCGUAUCCAACCUGCCCAUCACUUGGGGAUAACCUUGCGAAAGUAAGACUAAUACCCAAUGAGGUCUCUAGAAGACAUCUGAAAGAGAUUAAAGAUUUAUCGGUGAUGGAUGGGGAUGCGUCUGAUUAGCUUGUUGGCGGGGUAACGGCCCACCAAGGCGACGAUCAGUAGGGGUUCUGAGAGGAAGGUCCCCCACAUUGGAACUGAGACACGGUCCAAACUCCUACGGGAGGCAGCAGUGAGGAAUAUUGGUCAAUGGGCGAGAGCCUGAACCAGCCAAGUAGCGUGCAGGAUGACGGCCCUAUGGGUUGUAAACUGCUUUUAUAAGGGAAUAAAGUGGGAGUCGUGACUCCUUUUGCAUGUACCUUAUGAAUAAGGACCGGCUAAUUCCGUGCCAGCAGCCGCGGUAAUACGGAAGGUCCGGGCGUUAUCCGGAUUUAUUGGGUUUAAAGGGAGCGUAGGCCGGAGAUUAAGCGUGUUGUGAAAUGUAGACGCUCAACGUCUGCACUGCAGCGCGAACUGGUUUCCUUGAGUACGCACAAAGUGGGCGGAAUUCGUGGUGUAGCGGUGAAAUGCUUAGAUAUCACGAAGAACUCCGAUUGCGAAGGCAGCUCACUGGAGCGCAACCGACGCUGAAGCUCGAAAGUGCGGGUAUCGAACAGGAUUAGAUACCCUGGUAGUCCGCACGGUAAACGAUGGAUGCCCGCUGUUGGUCUGAAUAGGUCAGCGGCCAAGCGAAAGCAUUAAGCAUCCCACCUGGGGAGUACGCCGGCAACGGUGAAACUCAA